Molecule: ribosomal RNA, 506 nt
Filed under: uncultured bacterium
Lineage: Bacteria
Description: partial 16S ribosomal RNA
Rfam family: Bacterial small subunit ribosomal RNA
Source: RNAcentral
AGUGAACGCUGGCGGUAGGCCUAACACAUGCAAGUCGAACGGCAGCACAGGAGAGCUUGCUCUCUGGGUGGCGAGUGGCGGACGGGUGAGGAAUACAUCGGAAUCUACUCUGUCGUGGGGGAUAACGUAGGGAAACUUACGCUAAUACCGCAUACGACCUACGGUUGAAAGCAGGGGACCUUCGGCCCUUGCGCGAUUGAAUUAGCCGAUGUCGGAUUAGCUAGUUGGCGGGGUAAAGGCACACCAAGGCGACGAUCCGUAGCUGGUCUGAUCAGAUGAUCAGCCACGCUGGAAAUGAGACACGGUCCAGACUCCUACGGGAGGCAGCAGUGGGGAAUAUUGGACAAUGGGAGCAAGCCUGAACCAGCCAUACCGCGUGGGAGAAGAAGGCCUUCGGGUUGUAAAGCCCUUUUGUUGGAAAAGAAAUCCAGCUGGCUAAUACCCGGUUGGGAUGACGGUACCCAAAGAAUAAGCACCGGCUAGCUUCGUGCCAGCCGCCGCCGUAA